UCCCAGCCUAUCUUUCAACACAUUGCACAAUACAGAGCUGGAAUUGUCCCUGUUGCUUACAGAAGGUAUGCUUAAUCUGUGCCUAUUUAGCCUUUAAUAUAGGUUCGUAUAAGAGCCUAAUUGUACUUUACACUUUUCCUUCAUAAGAUACAGAAGUAGUGUGAAAAAUCUUGUAUUCUCUUUCGUCACAAUAAGGACAAGUAGACAGCAGCUAUAAAUUUGUGCAUUCACUUUGCAGGUUUAUUAUUUUGUUUUGUUUAUAUUUUGUGUUGAAAUUUAGGGAAGCCCACCUAUGUUUCGGUCACAACAUAAGAAACAUAUUAAUUUUCUGUUUGUAGUCUAUAUAAUUCAUGCUUCUUGUCAGUUUUUGCAUUCAAGUAAAUAGGACCCUCAAUUUUUCUGCUUAAGGUCCCCCACCAGUGUAUUAAUAAUAUUUACUGCAAUAAUUUCUUGUUGGUGCCUUAGUUUUUUGGACUAUGUGGGGUCUAAUUAUACUAUACACUUAUUUUCUCAACCACAUAUUUAUACGUGCAACUUGGGUUCAAGGGCAUAUCAAGUAUCCAAUCCAUGUAUUAAAUUGUCAUGAUUUUUAGAGAGGUGGUUCGAUGGUGCAAGGGAGAUGUUUGUGAUAGUGAAAACCUGU
This 643-nucleotide long non-coding RNA is filed under the name Olea europaea (common olive). Its description in RNAcentral is "long non-coding RNA (OEUR_LNC004154)". The record is from RNAcentral. Lineage: Eukaryota; Viridiplantae; Streptophyta; Magnoliopsida; Lamiales; Oleaceae.